ACUGAGUUCUCAGGAUUGCGAAGCUCCUCUGCUUCUCUUCCCUUCGGCAAGAAACUUUCUUCCGAUGAGUUCGUUUCCAUCGUAUCCUUCCAGACCUCUGCAGUGAGUUCUCUUUUUCCUCCAACAUUGUCUGUAGCUUGCGUGUUCUGUCUUAUGAUGCAAUGUUAUGAGAUGAAAUGUUUGUAUCAAGAAAUAAGCAUUGUGUAUUGAUAGAUCGGAUAAAUUAUGUGAUCAGCCUUUUGGUCGUUUGCUUCUGUCUCUUGCUGUUUUGUGAACUGUUUGGAUGGUUCUGUGUGUUUGUGUCAGAUGGGAAGCAGUGGUGGAUACAGGAAAGGUGUGACUGAGGCCAAGCUUAAGGUGGCCAUCAAUGGAUUCGGUAGGAUCGGGAGGAACUUCUUGAGAUGCUGGCAUGGUCGCAAAGACUCUCCUCUUGAUGUCAUUGCCAUUAAUGACACUGGUGGUGUCAAGCAGGCCUCGCAUCUUCUUAAAUACGACUCUACUCUUGGAAUCUUUGAUGCUGAUGUCAAACCUUCUGGAGAGACUGCAAUCUCUGUUGAUGGAAAGAUCAUCCAAGUUGUGUCUAACCGAAACCCUUCUCUUCUCCCCUGGAAGUAAGUCAAUACAGAACUUUAUGUGUCUGAAUUUAAUUGAUCAGUCUUUUUUUCUGAAAUCUAGAUAAGUAUUUGAAUUGGCUUAUGGUUGAUAUCUUAGGGAGUUGGGAAUUGACAUUGUCAUCGAAGGAACCGGAGUGUUUGUCGAUAGAGAAGGUGCAGGGAAACACAUUGAAGCUGGAGCCAAGAAGGUUAUCAUUACUGCUCCAGGCAAAGG
This 828-nucleotide long non-coding RNA is filed under the name Capsella grandiflora. RNAcentral describes it as "long non-coding RNA (CGRA_LNC001116)". The record is from RNAcentral. Lineage: Eukaryota; Viridiplantae; Streptophyta; Magnoliopsida; Brassicales; Brassicaceae.